UUGGAGGGCAAGUCUGGUGCCAGCAGCCGCGGUAAUUCCAGCUCCAAUAGCGUAUAUUAAAGUUGUUGCAGUUAAAAAGCUCGUAGUUGAACUUCGGGGUUUACCCAUUGGUCAGGCUUAAUUGUCUGCACUGGUGAGAUAAAUCUCUACCUUCUGAGGAACUUUCAUGCCAUUUAUUUGGUGUGAUGGGAAAUCAGGACUGUUACUUUGAAAAAAUUAGAGUGUUUAAAGCAGGC
RNAcentral lists this ribosomal RNA (236 nucleotides) under uncultured Glomus. RNAcentral's name for it is "partial 18S ribosomal RNA". It matches the Rfam family "Eukaryotic small subunit ribosomal RNA", at positions 548 to 785 of the family's 1831-position model. The record is from RNAcentral. Lineage: Eukaryota; Fungi; Glomeromycota; Glomeromycetes; Glomerales; Glomeraceae.